GAGCAAAUCACAAGGCAAACUCAGAUUCAAAGGAAUGAGGAAAUAGCCUCUUGAUGGGAUGAGGUUCAAAGUUCCACUGCAAAACACAUGAAACAGAGAGGCAGGAAAAACAGGAAUAAUGCCUGCAAUCAAUCAAUCUGCCACAGUAAAAUAGCACAAGGUGCCAAGGGAGCAUAUAGAACAUGCAUAUAUUCCAGCCUAGAAAGUCAGCUCUUUCCCAGAGGCUGCAAUUUCUGGGCUUAAUCUUGAAUGAUGGUUGUCACUGAAAAGGCUCAAGGAGCUCUCUUGUUCCUUCCACCAUCUGAGAACACAGUGAGAAGUCCCCAGGCUUCAACCUGAAAAAGGGCCCUCAUCAGAACCUGAUCAUCAGAACUUGGCACCCCAAUCUUUGUCUUCUGAUCUACAUUGUGACCUAAGUCAGGUAACUUAUCAAGAUGGAUAUCAGGUGCCAGAAGAUGUGAAUAUGAUUUUUAUCUGUUUUGAGUUAUUAAUAAAGAGGUUUAAGACUUUGCUUAGAGAAUUACUGUUUCUUUUCAAAUUAUUGAUCAUUCCAACUCAUUUUGAUGCUGGAAUAUUCACAGUGUAUUUCUAAUGCAACAUUAAAGAGUUAAUCCUGAUAAUGAAAAUAGGGUUGAAUAAGUAUUUUGUUCUGUCCUUUCCACUUGUGUUCUUUUGCAGUCAGGAAUUUCAGUUCCUUAUUCUGAGUUUAUUACGAAGGAUAUUUUCUAGCUUAAAAAAGGUAAAGAAUUGAUUACUUCCUAAUCACAAGUAGACAAGUUGUUACUUCACUGUUACUCCAUUAACACUAGCUAUGACUUUUCUUACCUCUGAACUGGAUUUUAUAGCAACAUCCUAGCUGUCUGCUGGCCUUCUUCCCAAAGUUCACUCAAGACACAACAGCUGAACUGAUCAAUACUGUUACAGCUCACAGUCUGCCUCUACCCACAGCUGACACAUUAGACAAACUGAAUCACUUGACACACCUGCAGGAAAGCCCAUGUUCAUUAGGCAUGGGAAGCCCUUCUUAACUUUACUCUUUGGAAAUGUUUUCCCUCCUUCCAGGUAUUGCUCCAAAAAAGCAUAUAGUAAGAAAAGGAAACCUCAACUGCAACCAAGGGACUUGGAUCUUAAUUCCAGUUCCACUAUAACAAGCUAUGCACAUUUGGGCAGGUUUUCACUCUCUCUCACUCAAUUUUCUCAUCUGUAUAAUGAGAAGGCAUAAACCAGAUCAGAGGUUUUCAUAAUGUGGUCCUUCAGCUAGCAGCAUCAGCAUCACUUGGGUACUUGUUAGAAACGCAAAUUCUCAAGGUUUAUCCCACCUUUACUAAAUCAGAAAUUCUGGAGAUGGGACAAAGAAAUCUGUGUUUGAACAAGCCCUCUCUACGAUGUCUUUUUUCUUAGUUGCUUACAUGGAAUUUCAUACUUUUACUACAUACAUCACCUAUUUCAUGUUAGAAUUAUUUUUGACAUGUCCUCUCCAAUUUGUACUAGAUAUUCCCUUGAAGAUUAGAAUUCCAUCUUGAUUAUCUUUAUAUCCUGGACAGUGUGUAAACCCAGAUCCUACACAUAUUAGAUGGUUACAAAAUCUUUGGCAAAUUAGAUUCUUCAUUAAUGUUAAUGUUCAUUUAAUCCCCAAAAUAUUAGAAAAAAAUCAUUAAAAUUAACUUAAGUAAUCACAGCAUAUAAGUGAGAAAAUAUGGAGAAGAUACAGACUCAAACCUUGGGUAGGGAGUAGAAAAACAUAACCACUGGGUUGAGCUUAUGUUCACAUAGCAGGCUAACCCACGGAGGAAAGAGUGCUUCAAAAUUGGUUAAUUGCAAAUGAUUGUUAUCCUUGCAG
RNAcentral lists this long non-coding RNA (1840 nucleotides) under Homo sapiens (human). Its description in RNAcentral is "HSALNT0192890". Lineage: Eukaryota; Metazoa; Chordata; Mammalia; Primates; Hominidae. The record is from RNAcentral.